RNAcentral lists this ribosomal RNA (253 nucleotides) under uncultured bacterium. RNAcentral describes it as "partial 16S ribosomal RNA". It matches the Rfam family "Bacterial small subunit ribosomal RNA", at positions 524 to 776 of the family's 1533-position model. The record is from RNAcentral.
UACAGAGGAUGCAAGCGUUAUCCGGAAUGAUUGGGCGUAAAGCGUCUGUAGGUGGCUUUUUAAGUCCGCCGUCAAAUCCCAGGGCUCAACUCUGGACAGGCGGUGGAAACUACCAAGCUGGAGUACGGUAGGGGCAGAGGGAAUUUCCGGUGGAGCGGUGAAAUGCGUAGAGAUCGGAAGGAACGCCGGUGGCGAAAGCGACGCACUGGACCUCUUCUGACGCUGAGGCGCGAAAGCCAGGGGAGCAAACGGG